Molecule: ribosomal RNA, 405 nt
Filed under: uncultured Caulobacteraceae bacterium
Lineage: Bacteria; Pseudomonadati; Pseudomonadota; Alphaproteobacteria; Caulobacterales; Caulobacteraceae
Description: bacterial SSU rRNA
Rfam family: Bacterial small subunit ribosomal RNA
Source: RNAcentral
GUGGGGAAUCUUGCGCAAUGGGCGAAAGCCUGACGCAGCCAUGCCGCGUGAAUGAUGAAGGUCUUAGGAUUGUAAAAUUCUUUCAGCGGGGACGAUAAUGACGGUACCCGCAGAAGAAGCCCCGGCUAACUUCGUGCCAGCAGCCGCGGUAAUACGAAGGGGGCUAGCGUUGCUCGGAAUUACUGGGCGUAAAGGGCGCGUAGGCGGAUCGUUAAGUCAGAGGUGAAAGCCCAGGGCUCAACCCUGGAAUUGCCUUUGAUACUGGCGAUCUUGAGUACGGGAGAGGUGUGUGGAACUCCGAGUGUAGAGGUGAAAUUCGUAGAUAUUCGGAAGAACACCAGUGGCGAAGGCGACACACUGGCCCGUUACUGACGCUGAGGCGCGAAAGCGUGGGGAGCAAACAGG